RNAcentral lists this ribosomal RNA (485 nucleotides) under uncultured bacterium. RNAcentral's name for it is "partial 16S ribosomal RNA". It matches the Rfam family "Bacterial small subunit ribosomal RNA", at positions 30 to 507 of the family's 1533-position model. The record is from RNAcentral.
UUGAACGCUGGCGGCAUGCCUUACACAUGCAAGUCGAACGGCAGCACGGGUGCUUGUACCUGGUGGCGAGUGGCGAACGGGUGAGUAAUACAUCGGAACAUGUCCUGUAGUGGGGGAUAGCCCGGCGAAAGCCGGAUUAAUACCGCAUACGAUCUACGGAUGAAAGCGGGGGACCUUCGGGCCUCGCGCUAUAGGGUUGGCCGAUGGCUGAUUAGCUAGUUGGUGGGGUAAAGGCCUACCAAGGCGACGAUCAGUAGCUGGUCUGAGAGGACGACCAGCCACACUGGGACUGAGACACGGCCCAGACUCCUACGGGAGGCAGCAGUGGGGAAUUUUGGACAAAGGGCGAAAGCCUGAUCCAGCAAUGCCGCGUGUGUGAAGAAGGCCUUCGGGUUGUAAAGCACUUUUGUCCGGAAAGAAAUCCUUGGCCCUAAUACGGUCGGGGGAUGACGGUACCGGAAGAAUAAGCACCGGCUAACUACGUG